UGUAGACACAAAAUAACUUAUUAACCAGUUUUUCUCUUUCAGUUUUUAUCUACCUGAUGUCAUGAUACAUAAACCCAUCUGCAUGGAAAAUAUCCCUGAGAGAGAGGCGGCAGAAAAGUUGGAUGUCCUUUAGAGUCAUUUUUUCACGUUAAAGUAAUACUUUAAGAUUUUGACCAGGAUUGAUUGCAUAGCACCAACAGAUUAACUUAGGAAGAGGAAAUUUGGACACUUAAAAGAGAUACCAGGGAUGCCUGCACACAGGAAAGCUCAUGUGAAGACAUGGCAGGAUGGUGGCCACCUGCAAGCCAAGGAGAAAAGCCUCAGGAGAAGCCAAAUCUGCUGACACCUCAGUAUUGGACUUCCAGCCUGCAGAACUAUGUAAAAAUAAAGCUCUGCUGUCUGGUAUUUUGUUGUGGCAGCCCUGGCAAACUAAUACAAUGUGCAUAUAAAGAAAAAGAAAUGUAUCCCAGCACAUAACAAUUAUGGAAAAUUUAAAUAAAUAAAGCAAAUAGUAGCAUUUGUAAUCCCUCCACCACUAUAGGUCACUACUAUUCAGGUACUUAUUGAUGUAUUGCAUUUUCAUUUGUUAUUUGUUUACAUGUAUUUGUGCCAGAAAAUUUGAUUCAUGUAUGUAUUUAUUCUUCAACUUAGCAAAUAUGCAUCAAACAGCUACAAUGUGCUGGAGCAACAGAAUAUGCCACCCAUGACCCUGUAUGCUGAGAUGCAGAAGCUUGUUGAUGGAGAGAAGCCCAGAAAUCCAGCUUUGGACAUGCUAAGUUUGAGAUGUGUCUUAAACACUAAGAUGGAAAAGUUGACCAGGGAAUUGGAUGUAGAGUUGUGCAGAUCAGAAGAGAAAUCUGGUCCAUAUAUAUAACAUUUGUGAAUAGAAGGCAUUUAAAACCAUAAGGCCAGGUAAAGCAACAAAGAUGUUACAAUGGUUAGUGAAGAGAGGAGGCCAAGGACAAAUCCCUGAAGCACUUAAGAGGAUGAGGAGAAAAGAAGAACCAGGAAGUGUGACAGAGAAGGUACAACCAGUGAGGGAGGAGGAAGAGCAAGGGAAUGGGGUGUCUGGAAGCCAAACAAAAGAAGUUUAACCUAGAAAGAGCGUUUCAGCUCUGUUAAAUAGUGUUGAUACGGCAGGUAUGAGAAUAAGUAGGAAGUGACUAUUGGAUUGAAGAUGAGGAGGAAGUCAGUGAUUUUGAUGAGAAUAGUUUCCAUGGAGUAUUAGGGAGGAAAACUUGGCCCCAGGGAAUGAAGGGAGAAUGUGAGAAGAAUUAGUGUGUAAAGGCCACUCUUUCCUGGAGUUCUGCUGAAAGGAGAGUUAGAAAAAAAAAAAGUAAGUGGUACUUCAGGAGAAGAUGGGGAAGGGGUUCAAAAUAAGAUUUGCUUUUUCUUUUAAAAUGAGAAAAAAUGGUAUAUAGUUUGAAUAAUAAUUUAAAUUAGCUAAAGGGGAGCAAAAAUGUGGUGGUGUAAGAAAGAGGGGGGAAUUGUGAUGCUCAUGAGAAAGAAAGGAAAUGUGACAUCCUUUAGUCAGAUCUAGGAGAAGGUGAGUUCUAGAAUAGGCAGACGGGCAGAAUGUGUGAGGGCAGGUGAGGACAGGCAGUUAGUCACGAUUAGUGAUUGCCUGCAAUGAUCCCUUCUGAGGACUGAGGGAAUGGAGUAGAGAUGGGAAGGGAUAGGUCUGGAAGGAUCAAAGCUAUUGUUCAUGAACCUCAGGUGAGGACAAUCAGGGCUGUUGUUUUCUCCACUCAUGUUCAGCUGAUUGGGUGCAGAAGAAGAGUAGGAGAAAUUUUGGAGUUAGGUGGUUAUUGGCUAGACCAUGGAGUGGCCAAGAAAGAAAGAAAAAAAAAGAUUUUUAUCAUUUUGUUUUCAUUUAAUUGUUUUCAUUUAAUAUUAAGUCAUAAGCCUCUUUUCUGUGUUAUCAAAUAUCUUUGUAAACAUUUUAAUGCUUGUAAAUUGUUGGGCUGCACCCCGCAGACCUGUAAACCCAGGCUGGAGAUGGGAGACAGUGACAGAGACAUCAACGGUUUAUUGGAUAGGGAUCCUACCUGUCUGAAGGAAAAGGUCCUCUAGAGCAACACCCCAUCAUGUAUGAUAGAUAGCCAGGCAGGACACGGCAGCAAUCUUACUUGGGGGAGAAAGAGGGUACCAUUUAUAGAGCUGCUUGACCUCAUGUUGGCUUAUCAGUUACCAGGGAAACAAGUGGCUGGAGCAGAGGGCAAGCACGUAGGCAGUUACUGAUUAAGCCCAGUGAUUAACAGGAUUGGAUAGUCAUGUGAGGAGGAUGUAGGUGAAGCAGGGACUGAUCGAGCAGAGGAUGUACAGCGAGCAAGAGAACAGCCAUCCUGAGCGGCCUGAGCAUACAUAAAAAAAUACAUGAACAAUAAGUUUAAAUAUUUCCCUACUAUUGGAGUGUUUUAAAUGUUUUUAGUUAUUUUAUGUACUACUUCAAUAAUUAUUGAAUUUGAGGAUCAAAAUUGAGAACCAAUUGAAAGAAGGAAGGUAUGUAAAAGCAUAAAAGAAAUUUGCAAAGUGAUUCCAAAGGAAUUAUUUUAGUGAAGAUCUAUUACUAUAAAACUCCACAAAAUUCAGUGACUUCAAAAACAGCAGCUAUUUUUUUCUUGCACUUCUGUGAUUCAGGUAGAGCUUGAUGGGAAUAGCUUUUUCUGCUUCAACAUGCAUCAUACAAAGCAACUUAACUGGAAAAAUUACUUCCAAAAUGGCACCAUUUACUUAGUUGUUUCUGCUGGUUGUUGGCUAGGAGCGGAGCUGAGAAUAUUUGAAAAACUAUAAUGUAUCUUAGAAAUUAGUAUUUCAUGAUGGAUAUAAAUUAAGAUUUGACUGGAAGAGUUUUUAUAUAUUCCAUGUUUGUCCAAAAAAAUCUUUUAAAAACGUUAAUUCUACUUUUUUUGGGCAAUUAUUUUUUGCCUCAAUUGU
This is a long non-coding RNA of Hippopotamus amphibius kiboko, 2937 nucleotides long. RefSeq lists it as uncharacterized. The transcript has 3 exons. The record is from RefSeq and is a predicted model, not a curated record. NCBI's taxonomy places the organism in Eukaryota, Metazoa, Chordata, Mammalia, Artiodactyla, Hippopotamidae.